UACGUAGGUGGCAAGCGUUGUCCGGAUUUACUGGGCGUAAAGAGCGCGCAGGCGGUCAGAUAAGUCGAAUGUGAAAGCCCCCGGCUCAACUGGGGAGGGUCAUUCGAUACUGUUCGACUCGAAGGCAGGAGAGGGAAGCGGAAUUCCCGGUGUAGUGGUGAAAUGCGUAGAUAUCGGGAGGACCACCAGGGGCGAAGGCGGCUUCCUGGCCUGUACUUGACGCUGAGGCGCGAAAGCUAGGGGAGCAAACAGG
This 253-nucleotide ribosomal RNA is filed under the name uncultured bacterium. RNAcentral describes it as "partial 16S ribosomal RNA". It matches the Rfam family "Bacterial small subunit ribosomal RNA", at positions 524 to 776 of the family's 1533-position model. The record is from RNAcentral.